GCCAGUGUGGUAUAGCGGUUUGUGUGUUGGACUAUGACUCUGGAGACCAGAGUUUGAUUCCCAGCUCAGCCA
Phrynosoma platyrhinos (Desert horned lizard) is the source of this 72-nucleotide non-coding RNA. Lineage: Eukaryota; Metazoa; Chordata; Lepidosauria; Squamata; Phrynosomatidae. The record is from the annotation of a GenBank genome assembly.